This 967-nucleotide ribosomal RNA is filed under the name uncultured bacterium. RNAcentral's name for it is "bacterial SSU rRNA". It matches the Rfam family "Bacterial small subunit ribosomal RNA", at positions 338 to 1307 of the family's 1533-position model. The record is from RNAcentral.
CCUACGGGAGGCAGCAGUAAGGAAUAUUGGACAAUGCCCGCAAGGGUGAUCCAGCCAUGCCGCGUGCAGGAAGACGGCCCUAUGGGUUGUAAACUGCUUUUACACCGGAGAAAACCCCGCUACGUGUAGCGGGCUGAUGGUAUGGUGAGAAUAAGCAUCGGCUAACUUCGUGCCAGCAGCCGCGGUAAGACGAAGGAUGCAAGCGUUAUCCGGAUUCAUUGGGUUUAAAGGGAGCGUAGGCGGCCUGAUAAGUCAGCGGUGAAAUCUCCUCGCUUAACGAGGAAAUUGCCAUUGAUACUGUUGGGCUUGAGUACAGUUGCUGUGGGCGGAAUAUGACAUGUAGUGGUGAAAUACAUAGAGAUGUCAUAGAACACCGAUUGCGAAGGCAGCUCACAAAACUGUAACUGACGCUGAGGCUCGAAAGUGCGGGGAUCAAACAGGAUUAGAUACCCUGGUAGUCCGCACCGUAAACGAUGAUUACUCGCUGCUGGGAGGUAACUUUCAGUGGCUUAGCGAAAGCGAUAAGUAAUCCACCUGGGGAGUACGCCGGCAACGGUGAAACUCAAAGGAAUUGACGGGGGCCCGCACAAGCGGAGGAGCAUGUGGUUUAAUUCGAUGAUACGCGAGGAACCUUACCAGGGCUUGAAAGUUAGGGAAUAACUCUGAAAGGAGUUAGUCAGCAAUGACCCGAAACUAGGUGCUGCAUGGCUGUCGUCAGCUCGUGCCGUGAGGUGUUGGGUUAAGUCCCGCAACGAGCGCAACCCCUACCAUUAGUUGCCAGCGGUUCGGCCGGGGACUCUAGUGGAACUGCCCGCGCAAGCGGUGAGGAAGGUGGGGGAUGACGUCAAGUCAUCACGGCCCUUACGUCCUGGGCUACACACGUGCUACAAUGGCUAUUACAGAGGGCAGCUACAUGGCACCAUGAUGCAAAUCUUCAAAAAUAGUCUCCAGUUCGGAUUGGGGUCUG